AAAAGCUCUCCUCUCUCUCUGUCUCUCUCCAUCGAGGAAUAAGCACCAUGGCAAAGCCGCCGUCAUUAUUCCUCAUUCUCAUAAUCAUUUCCCUCUCUUCUCUCACAUUCCUCUCCGAAUCCAGACUCUCCUACGACUACUACGAUAAAUCCUGUCCAAGAUUCACUCAAAUCAUCCAAGAAACCAUUACCAACAAGCAAAUCACCAGCCCCACCACAGCCGCCGGCACUCUCCGCCUCUUCUUUCAUGAUUGUCUCCUCAACGGCUGCGACGCUUCCAUCCUUAUCUCUUCUACUCCCUUCAACUCUGCCGAGCGUGAUGCCGACAUCAACCUCUCCCUCCCCGGCGACGCCUUCGACCUCGUCACUCGUGCUAAGACUGCCCUCGA
RNAcentral lists this unclassified non-coding RNA (388 nucleotides) under Hevea brasiliensis (rubber tree). The record is from RNAcentral. Lineage: Eukaryota; Viridiplantae; Streptophyta; Magnoliopsida; Malpighiales; Euphorbiaceae.